This 726-nucleotide long non-coding RNA is filed under the name Homo sapiens (human). Its description in RNAcentral is "non-protein coding TMEM161B-AS1:24". Lineage: Eukaryota; Metazoa; Chordata; Mammalia; Primates; Hominidae. The record is from RNAcentral.
AAAACAAGUAAUCCAAGAGAGAAGCAGAAGCCACCAUGGUUUUUUAUGCCGUUGUUGACCUAGCCCCCAAAGUGACAUAUUAUUACACAGAUAUGUAGCCAACCUGUGGGUCACUGAUACGGUUUGGAUGUGUGUCCCCUCCAAAUCUCAUGUUGAAAUGUGAUUCUCAGUGUUGGAAGUGGGGCUGGUGAUAGGUGUUUGGUUCAUGAGGGUAGAUCCCUUAUGAAUGGCUUGGUGCUGUCUUUGUGGCAAUAAGUGAGUUCUCACUAUCUGAGUUCACACAAGAGCUGGUUGUUUAAAAGAGCCUGUCAUCUCUUUUGCUCCCUUUCUCACCAUGUGAUAUGCUGCUCCCCUUCUCUUCUGCCAUGAAGAAAAGCUUCCUGAGGCCUUCACCAGAAGCAGAUGCUGGUGCCGUGCUUCUACAGCCUGCAGAACUGAAGGACUUUACAGCUUCUCUUUCGCAUAUCCAAAUUGCCAGCAUCACCGCUCUUGCACUCCAAGCCAUUAUUAAGUAAAGUAAAGAACACAAACACUGUGAUACUGCUACACUUGAUCUGAUAACCAAGAAGUCUACUAAGUGACUAACAGAGCAACUGGGAACCUAAUUCUGACCAAAAAGGAGGAAUUGUUUGGCUAAUUGGAAGUGACAGAAACCUUGGGAGAAAGCAACCGCAUACCAAGGAUAAUUAUAAGAAGGUAACAUGGGCCCUAAAGGAUAGUGUCAAG